AUUUAUGUCGGCCGGCAAAUCUUGUGUGUAUUUUGGCACAGGGUGCACAAAUGCUCCUUAUCAGUGCGGUGACACUUGAACAAAUGAACUGAUCAUGCGCGACACUGACCAAUAAACAAACGAGUUGUUUUAUUGCGUCUAUGACUUGAAUCUUAUCAUCAGUUGUAGUGAUGGGAAGUUCGGAUCAUUUUACCGAAUCGGACUUUUGAGUCUCGUUCAGCAAAAUGAACGAAUCUUUUUUCGAGUCAUUUCAAAUGAACGAACAACCAGAAGGUUCAGGAAGAAAAAAACAAAGUGCUUGCAGUCUGUUUCACAUUAGGAGGCAUUUUGCUUCAUAAUCGAUCCACCACAAACCAUAUGCAACUAUGGAAGCUCAACUUCCAUUAAAUGGACUGAAAACGCUCAAGUAACGUUAUAGGUCUCAAAACGCUUGCUCUGCGCCAGUGGAUACACACCAUAGACAGUAAAAGAAAUAUGUGCAUGUCACAGACUGUCUGGGCAUGCACUUCCGCGUUUCAGAGAUCCGCCUUUUACUUUCCGUCAACAUUACAUUAAUUAACGUUUAGAAAAUUUAUUUUUGACAUUUGUGAAUCAGUUCAGAAUCGUCUGCUUAUGCAUUGCGAUACAUUUAAGAAUCACAUUUUUAUCCCACCCCUACUAAAUAUAGAGACACUUUGACAAGUGGGCACUGGAUGCUGAGUAUUGAAGGCGAGGUGGUGUGUGAGGGCACUCAGCCCAGUUUCCUGUCCGGCCUUGCCACUCUGUUUGCUGCUUAUUACUAGUUUAAUCUUGAGUAUCAGGAGGAAGCAGUGUGUACCUUGGAGUUCAUUCAAAGGUGCUUUGUGGGCAUAAAUCCAGAGAGAGGACCCAAAGCCAAGGGAAAAGUGCCAUCGAAAUAAAAACAGGACAAGUGAUACAGAAGAAAAUGUGUGGCAGUCAACCCACAUGUUGCCACUCUUCUGUGCAAAUUCCAAUGGAAUUUCUGAAAUUCACACUUUGAAUCCUGGGAUGGAACUUCAUCUGGAGCAUAAUUGUUAUUUGGUUGAUUUUUAUCUGUUUGAUGGAAAGUUUGUAUGACUUCUGCAAGUGCGCGGCUCCUUCCGGUCAGUCAUGCAUCACUUUUUUUUGUAUGACUUGUUUGGCAAUAUUGGUCUAUUCCUUAAUUAUGAUAGCUAUCUGAAAUUGUCUUUGUGGUUUUUAAAGGAUUAGUUCACCCAAAAAUGAAAAUUAAGUCAAUAAUUACUUAUGUCGUUUCACACCCGUAAGAUCUUCGUUCAUCCUCACAACACACAUUAAGAUGUGGCUCAGUGAAGCGUGCAUUUCUAGCAAGAUCAUUUCUUUUUUUCAAUGCCCAGAAAGCCUCUAAAACAUUUAAAACAAUUCAUGUGACUACAGUUGUUCAACCUAAAUAUUAUAAAGCGACGAGAAUACUUUUUUUGCCAACCCCCCCACCCCCAUCUCCCAAAACAACGAUUUUAUUCAACUAUAUCUAGUGAUGGGCGAUCUCAAAACACUGCUUCAUGAAGCUUAGAAGCUUUACGAAUCUUUUGUUUCAAAUCAUUUGCUCAGAACGUGUAUCAAACUGCAAAAGUCACACGAACCAUUGAAAUUUCAAAACACUUAUGACGUAACGAAGCCUCAUUUACUGAAAUCAUGUGACUUUGGCAGUUUGAUAUGCUCUGAUUUGAACUGAAAGAUUAAUAAAGCUUUGAAGCUUCAUGAAGCAGUGUCAUCCAUCACGAGAUACUGUUGAAUAGUCAUUAUUUAGUUUUUUGGCACACAAAAAGUAUUUUCAUUGCUUCAUUACACUAAGGUUGAACCACUGUAGUCACAUAAACUGUUUUAAAUAUGUUUUUAGUACCUUUCUGGGCAUUGGAAAGGGAAAUGAUCUUGCUAGCAAUGUAGGCAUCACUGGGCCAUCAGGUUUUAUAAAAAAUAUCUUAAUGUGUGUUGUGAAGAUGAACAAAGGUUUUAAGGGUGUGGAAUGACAUGAGGGUGAGAAAUGACAGAAUUUUCACUUUUGGGUGAACUGUUUUAAUAUGACCAUGUUGGUCAUGUUUCGGUUAUAACGCAGUUUGAAUAUUUCUUUGUGUCAAGGUCCAUGAUGGCCAUUAUGUUCCAAGUAAUAAAAAAGAAAUCAUGCCAAAAUUUCAUAUCCAUUUAAAAAAAAAUGAAAUAAUUUUAAAAUAAAUAAAAAUGAGUUCAAAAUAA
Carassius gibelio (silver crucian carp) is the source of this 2211-nucleotide long non-coding RNA. RefSeq lists it as uncharacterized. The transcript is spliced from 4 exons. NCBI's taxonomy places the organism in Eukaryota, Metazoa, Chordata, Actinopteri, Cypriniformes, Cyprinidae. The record is from RefSeq and is a predicted model, not a curated record.